This is a non-coding RNA of Chiloscyllium plagiosum (whitespotted bambooshark), 172 nucleotides long. NCBI's taxonomy places the organism in Eukaryota, Metazoa, Chordata, Chondrichthyes, Orectolobiformes, Hemiscylliidae. The record is from RefSeq and is a predicted model, not a curated record.
CUGGAGCCUUCAGUAAAUCCUGCAGUGAGGCACUCAGGAUGCUCCUGACUCAGCAGAAUUCCCAAUUCCUGUUUCGUCCAUCACCACACUGAAGACAGUUGGUAAGCCGGAGAGAUGGAGAGUGAGAUCUGCAGCCUUCAGUAAAUCCUGCAGUGAGGCACAACAGCGAUCC